GAUGAACGCUAGCGGCAGGCUUAACACAUGCAAGUCGAGGGGUAUAGUUCUUCGGAAUUAGAGACCGGCGCACGGGUGCGUAACGCGUAUGCAAUCUACCUUUCACAGAGGGAUAGCCCCAGAGAAAUUUGGAUUAAUACCUCAUAGUAUAGCAGUUUCGCAUGAAACCACUAUUAAAGUCACAACGGUGAAAGAUGAGCAUGCGUCCCAUUAGCUAGUUGGUAAGGUAACGGCUUACCAAGGCAACGAUGGGUAGGGGUCCUGAGAGGGAGAUCCCCCCACACUGGUACUGAGACACGGACCAGACUCCUACGGGAGGCAGCAGUGAGGAAUAUUGGGACAAUGGGCGCAAGCCUGAUCCAGCCAUGCCGCGUGCAGGAUGACGGUCCUAUGGAUUGUAAACUGCUUUUAANACAGGAAGAAACNCUACUUCGUGAAGUAGCUUGACGGUACUGUAAGAAUAGGAUCGGCUAACUCCGUGCCAGCA
This 487-nucleotide ribosomal RNA is filed under the name uncultured bacterium. RNAcentral's name for it is "bacterial SSU rRNA". It matches the Rfam family "Bacterial small subunit ribosomal RNA", at positions 28 to 513 of the family's 1533-position model. The record is from RNAcentral.